RNAcentral lists this ribosomal RNA (435 nucleotides) under uncultured bacterium. RNAcentral describes it as "partial 16S ribosomal RNA". It matches the Rfam family "Bacterial small subunit ribosomal RNA", at positions 29 to 507 of the family's 1533-position model. The record is from RNAcentral.
AGCGAGCGCUGGCGGCAGGCUUAACACAUGCAAGUCGAACGGGCAUCUUCGGAUGUCAGUGGCAGACGGGUGAGUAACACGUGGGAACGUACCCUUCGGUUCGGAAUAACUCAGGGAAACUUGAGCUAAUACCGGAUACGCCCUUUUGGGGAAAGGUUUACUGCCGAAGGAUCGGCCCGCGUCUGAUUAGCUUGUUGGUGGGGUAACGGCCUACCAAGGCGACGAUCAGUAGCUGGUCUGAGAGGAUGAUCAGCCACACUGGGACUGAGACACGGCCCAGACUCCUACGGGAGGCAGCAGUGGGGAAUAUUGGACAAUGGGCGCAAGCCUGAUCCAGCCAUGCCGCGUGAGUGAUGAAGGCCUUAGGGUUGUAAAGCUCUUUUGUCCGGGACGAUAAUGACGGUACCGGAAGAAUAAGCCCCGGCUAACUUCGUG